Molecule: long non-coding RNA, 1713 nt
Filed under: Arabidopsis thaliana (thale cress)
Lineage: Eukaryota; Viridiplantae; Streptophyta; Magnoliopsida; Brassicales; Brassicaceae
Description: long non-coding RNA (ATHA_LNC000650)
Source: RNAcentral
CUUAGGUUUUUAAGAUAGGGUUCUUGUUGGUUUUUAAGGAUAGAACCCACUUUCUUAUUAUCUGUUCUUCUUAGCCUUGUUCUUUAAAACAAUAAAAGUCAACGUGUAAUACAAUCAAAAUACAAUCAGUAUCUAAACCAAAAAUUAGUAGGAGCGUAUCAGCUAAUAAAUGGAAAGUAUUUGACCCGAACCGUGUAUAACGGCUAGAUUAUCACCGAACCUAAGGUUUGUGUUUGCUCUGGACUAUAACAAACCCUAAGUGAAAAGGAAAAAAGGAAACUUGAAUGUCAAACAAAUAAAUUUAUAUACCUGCGUCUCGCGUCUCCUCUCAAGUUAAAAACACAAUUGCUCUGCAUUUUUUUCAAUUCUCUUCUUCGAUUUCUGUCUGCUUCGUUUGCCUCUCUGUUCUCUUCUUCUUCCUUUUUGAGAUUUCAUUAUUCAUGUGUUGUUGCAUCUGCUUGUUGGAUUCACCCUAAUCUUUGGUGUGAUUCGUUGGUCUGGCCUAAGAACGACUCAUAUAUACAACGGCUCUCUCUGUUCACUUAAAAAGCAACGAAGAAGACGAGAGAGAUCACACACACAAGCCUCACGUCUUAAUUUGUUUGCCUGCGAUGAUAAGAUCUAUCAUCCACCGUAGAAACAGAGACAGAGAGAGAGAUAGACGAUUCGAAGGACAUGUUGCCGGGAUUUUAGGCUUCGAGAGUCAUGAUGUUGGAGGUUCUAUCCGGCGAUGGGGGUGUCGAUAGAUUGAGGAGGUGGAGCGAUCAGAGGAUUUUAGGCUUCGGGAGUCAUGAUGGUGGAGCAAUCAUCGGAGAUUGGCGAUGGAGAUGGCGAUAGAUUGAGGAGGUGGAGCGUAUUUUCCGUUAACGGAUAAAGAUGGCAUGUGCUCUCAGAGGCCCAAUAGAAACAAUUCCAGCCCAUCAAACAAUGACUAGCCCAUUGCCAGGUUAAUUCUCAGCCCAUUUUCUUGUUUAAUUAAGAAAUUAAUAUAUUUUAUAAUUUUGAUUAAAGGGGUUUUCUUCUCACGGAUUUUUUGAAGUUUUUUUUUGCAAUUUUUCUUCAAUUUUUUCUUUAAAUUAAUUUUUAUUCAAUUUUGUUAAAAGUUAAUUUUUCAUAUUUUUAGAUAAAAAUUUAUUUUUUAUAUAUACAUAAUAUUUUUGGUUUUAAGUGUUAGAGUUUAAUAUGUGUAAAAUAAUUGGACACAACAUCCCGUCCAUAGUAUGAGGUCCUUAAGCGGUGUCCUAGGUUCAUUAUCUUUUUCCACAUAUUAAAUUUUAACAUUUUUCUAUUUAAAAAUAUUUUUAUUUUUAUUUUUAUAACUAUUUAAAAUUUAAGGUUUUAAUUUUAUUUUUAAGUAAUAUUUUAGACAAAAUAUUUUUUUUUUUUAAAUAUACAUAAUAUUUUUGUUUAAGUGUUAAAGUUUAUUAUGUGUAAGAUAAUUGGACACAACAUUCCGUCCAUAGUAUGAAAUCGGUGUCUUAGGUUCAAUAUCUUUUGUACAUAUUUUGUUUUAAAGAACGAGGAUAAGGAAACCUCUUGUCUAAUAUGAGUUUUGUGUUGUUUCACUGGUUCUCGAAUAGAAUAACUGAAAAGAUUUAUAGUUGAAAAAACUUAUUCGGUAUAAUGCUUGCUUAUAUAACAGACUCAAAAUCGAUAUGUAAAACUUUAAUAAUUUGUUGAAUUGGUUUCUUGAGGUCGAAGGCAACACAAGAG